GACGAACGCUGGCGGCGUGCUUAACACAUGCAAGUCGAACGGAAAGGCCUGCUUUCCCUUGUGGAUUCCGGGUACUCGGGUGGCUAACUGGUGAGUAACACGUGAGUGAUCUGCCCCCAACUUGGGUAUAAGCCUGGGAAACUGGGUCUAAUACUCGAUAGGACUGCAGGGUGGUGCCAGUGGUGGAAAACGAUUUUCUAGUGGUUGGGGAUGAGCUCGAGGCCUAUCAGCUUGUUGGUAGGGUAAUGGCCUACCAAGGCGGCGACGGGUAGCCGGCCUGAGAGCGUGGACGGUGAGAUUGGGACUGAGCCACGGCCCCGACUGGUGCGGGAGGUAGCAGUGGUGAAGAAUGGCCCGAGGGCGGGAGGCAGAAACGCCGAGGGAGGGAGGGGGGUGCCCGGAUGGGAGUUCUAAGCUACUUUGGACGGCGAGAAGUGCACCUGGUUGGGAGGGUGGUGACGGUAGUGGACCAGAAAGCCCCGGCUAACUACGUG
This 494-nucleotide ribosomal RNA is filed under the name uncultured bacterium. RNAcentral's name for it is "partial 16S ribosomal RNA". It matches the Rfam family "Bacterial small subunit ribosomal RNA", at positions 28 to 507 of the family's 1533-position model. The record is from RNAcentral.